GACGAACGCUGGCGGCGUGCUUAACACAUGCCAGUCGAACGGAAAGGCCCUGCUUUUGUGGGGUGCUCGAGUGGCGAACGGGUGAGUAACACGUGAGUAACCUGCCCUUGACUUUGGGAUAACUUCAGGUAACUGCGGCUAAUACCGGAUAGGAGCUCCUGCUGCAUGGUGGGGGUUGGAUAGUUUCGGCGGUUGGGGAUGGACUCGCGGCUUAUCAGCGUGUUGGUGGGGUAGUGGCUUACCAAGGCUUUGACGGGUAGCCGGCCUGAGAGGGUGACCGGCCACAUUGGGACUGAGAUACGGAGCAGACUGCUACGGGAGGCAGCAGUGGGGAAUAUUGCACAAUGGGCGGAAGUCUGAUGCAGCAACGCCGCGUGCGGGAUGACGGCCUUCGGGUUGUAAACCGCUUUCGCCUGUGACGAAGCGUGAGUGACGGUAAUGGGUAAAGAAGCACCGGCUAACUACGUG
This 468-nucleotide ribosomal RNA is filed under the name uncultured bacterium. Its description in RNAcentral is "partial 16S ribosomal RNA". It matches the Rfam family "Bacterial small subunit ribosomal RNA", at positions 28 to 507 of the family's 1533-position model. The record is from RNAcentral.